AUUAAAACGCUGGCGGCAUGCCUUACACAUGCAAGUCGAACGGCAGCACGGGGGCAACCCUGGUGGCGAGUGGCGGACGGGUGAGUAAAGCAUCGGAACGUAUCCUGGAGUGGGGGAUAACGUAGCGAAAGUUACGCUAAUACCGCAUAUUCUGUGAGCAGGAAAGCAGGGGAUCGCAAGACCUUGCGCUCUGGGAGCGGCCGAUGUCGGAUUAGCUAGUUGGUGGGUAAAGCCUACAAGGCGACGAUCCGUAGCGGGUCUGAGAGGAUGAUCCGCCACACUGGGACUGAGACACGGCCCAGACUCCUACGGGAGGCAGCAGUGGGAAUUUUGGACAAUGGGCGGAAGGCCUGAUCCAGCCAUGCCGCGUGAGUG
This 375-nucleotide ribosomal RNA is filed under the name uncultured bacterium. RNAcentral's name for it is "bacterial SSU rRNA". It matches the Rfam family "Bacterial small subunit ribosomal RNA", at positions 32 to 407 of the family's 1533-position model. The record is from RNAcentral.